This 168-nucleotide ribosomal RNA is filed under the name Cistus ladanifer. RNAcentral describes it as "5.8S ribosomal RNA". The stretch from base 20 to 168 matches the Rfam family "5.8S ribosomal RNA". Rfam says of the family: 5.8S ribosomal RNA (5.8S rRNA) is a component of the large subunit of the eukaryotic ribosome. It is transcribed by RNA polymerase I as part of the 45S precursor that also contains 18S and 28S rRNA. Lineage: Eukaryota; Viridiplantae; Streptophyta; Magnoliopsida; Malvales; Cistaceae. RNAcentral also lists the same sequence under 1 other name. The record is from RNAcentral.
CUGUCGUACUUACAAUAACGACUCUCGGCAACGGAUAUCUCGGCUCUCGCAUCGAUGAAGAACGUAGCGAAAUGCGAUACUUGGUGUGAAUUGCAGAAUCCCGUGAACCAUCGAGUCUUUGAACGCAAGUUGCGCCCCAAGCCGUCAGGCCGAGGGCACGCCUGCCUG